This 891-nucleotide ribosomal RNA is filed under the name uncultured bacterium. Its description in RNAcentral is "bacterial SSU rRNA". It matches the Rfam family "Bacterial small subunit ribosomal RNA", at positions 1 to 841 of the family's 1533-position model. The record is from RNAcentral.
UCAUGAAGUCUAUGACCGGGCGUCGUUUUGAGUGUGGGAAGGCUUCGACCGGGGAGUGUGAUCCAGGAGCGGAUUGAACGCUGGCGGCAGGCUUAACACAUGCAAGUCGAGCGGGGAMGGGUAGCUUGCUACCUGACCUAGCGGCGGACGGGUGAGUAAUGCUYAGGAAUCUGCCUAUUAGUGKGGGACRACAUUCCGAAAGGAAUGCUAAUACCGCAUACGYCCUACGGGGGAAAGCAGGGGAUCUUCGGACCUUGCGCUAAUAGAUGAGCCUAAGUCAGAUUAGCUAGUUGGUGGGGUAAAGGCCUACCAAGGCGACGAUCUGUAGCGGGUCUGAGAGGAUGAUCCGCCACACUGGGACUGAGACACGGCCCAGACUCCUACGGGAGGCAGCAGUGGGGAAUAUUGGACAAUGGGCGAAAGCCUGAUCCAGCCAUGCCGCGUGUGUGAAGAAGGCCUUUUGGUUGUAAAGCACUUUAAGCGAGGAGGAGGCUACUUGGAUUAAUACUCUAGGAUAGUGGACGUUACUCGCAGAAUAAGCACCGGCUAACUCUGUGCCAGCAGCCGCGGUAAUACAGAGGGUGCGAGCGUUAAUCGGAUUUACUGGGCGUAAAGCGUGCGUAGGCGGCUUUUUAAGUCGGAUGUGAAAUCCCUGAGCUUAACUUAGGAAUUGCAUUCGAUACUGGGAAGCUAGAGUAUGGGAGAGGAUGGUAGAAUUCCAGGUGUAGCGGUGAAAUGCGUAGAGAUCUGGAGGAAUACCGAUGGCGAAGGCAGCCAUCUGGCCUAAUACUGACGCUGAGGUACGAAAGCAUGGGGAGCAAACAGGAUUAGAUACCCUGGUAGUCCAUGCCGUAAACGAUGUCUACUAGCCGUUGGGGCCUUUGAGGCUUU